RNAcentral lists this ribosomal RNA (779 nucleotides) under uncultured bacterium. RNAcentral's name for it is "bacterial SSU rRNA". It matches the Rfam family "Bacterial small subunit ribosomal RNA", at positions 8 to 796 of the family's 1533-position model. The record is from RNAcentral.
AGAGUUUGAUCAUGGCUCAGGACGAACGCUGGCGGCGUGCUUAACACAUGCAAGUCGAACGAGAUCCAUUCAGUAGCAAUACUGAUGAAGAUCUAGUGGCGAACGGGUGCGUAACACGUGAGGAACUUGUCCCGGUCUCUGGGAUAACAGUUGGAAACGACUGCUAAUACCGGAUGACGUCGGAACUUCGCAUGGAGUACUGACGAAAGGGUUACUGGGUCGGGAGAGCCUCGCGGCCUAUCAGCUUGUUGGUGGGGUAACGGCCUACCAAGGCAUCGACGGGUAGCUGGUCUGAGAGGAUGAUCAGCCACACUGGGACUGAGACACGGCCCAGACUCCUACGGGAGGCAGCAGUGGGGAAUCUUGCACAAUGGGCGAAAGCCUGAUGCAGCAACGCCGCGUGCGGGAAGAAGGCCCUCGGGUUGUAAACCGCUUUCAGAAGGAACGAAACUGACGGUACUUUCAGAAGAAGGUGCGGCCAACUACGUGCCAGCAGCCGCGGUGACACGUAGGCACCAAGCGUUGUCCGGAUUUAUUGGGCGUAAAGAGCUCGUAGGCGGUUCAGUAAGUCGGGUGUGAAAACUUUGGGCUUAACCCAAAGCGUGCAUCCGAUACUGCUGUGACUUGAGUUCGGUAGGGGAGCGGGGAAUUCCUAGUGUAGCGGUGAAAUGCGCAGAUAUUAGGAGGAACACCGGUGGCGAAGGNNCCGCUCUGGGCCGAAACUGACGCUGAGGAGCGAAAGCAUGGGUAGCAAACAGGAUUAGAUACCCUAGUAGUCC